This 90-nucleotide microRNA precursor is filed under the name Pteropus vampyrus (large flying fox). Its description in RNAcentral is "miRNA (ENSPVAG00000025618.1)". Lineage: Eukaryota; Metazoa; Chordata; Mammalia; Chiroptera; Pteropodidae. The record is from RNAcentral.
AUAUUAUAUAUGUGUGUGUGUAUGUAAAGGAUAUAUAUAUAUAUGCAUACACACACACACACACACACACACACACACACACACACACAC